GCCAGCGCUCCAGUGGGCGGGGGCGCGGCAGGUGACUCCAGACCAAGGAGGAUGAGCUGCUAUCCCUGGAAGAGAACGGAUGGAGGGAAGCAGCUCCUACAAAGUUCCCUCUGUGGCUGCUACUGAUCUGGAGGAGGGUGCUGGUCAGACUAGGAGCUUGCCUGCCACCCCCUCCAAAGAUGUUCACAAGGGUGUUGGAGGCAUCAUCUUUUCCUCCUCACUGAUUUUAGACUUGAGUGAAAGUGGUCUGUGCCGUUUGGAGGAGGUCUUUAGAAUCCCCAGCCUUCAACAAUUGCAUCUGCAAAGGAAUGCCCUGUGUGUGAUUCCUCAAGAUUUCUUUCAGUUGCUGCCAAACCUGACUUGGCUGGACCUCCGGUACAAUAGAAUUAAGGUGCUUCCUUCUGGGAUUGGAGCUCACAAGGAGCGUAACCACGCUGAAAGCACUGAACCUAAGACACUGCCCUCUGGAAUUCCCUCCUCAGCUCGUUGUGCAGAAGGGAUUGGUGGCUAUCCAGCGCUUCCUGCGGAUGUGGGCAGUAGAACACUGUCUCCCCAGAAAUCCAACUUCUCAAGAGACUCCACCGGUUAGAGAGAUGACCCUCCGUGACCUCCCGAGCCCAAGAUUGAAGUUGUCUGGAGACCACGCGUCUAACGAAGGAGCUGUGAACGCUCAGGACCCAGAGGGGGCCGUGAUGAAAGAGAAGGCCGGCUUUCUCCUGUCUGUGGAAAAGCCAGACCUGAGUGAACUCAGGAAGUCUGCUGACUCCUCAGAGAACUGGCCUAGCGAGGAGAUCAGGCGCUUUUGGAAGCUGAGGAAGGAGAUUGUUGAGCACGUGAAGGCAGACGUUCUGGGAAAUCAGCUCUUACCGAGGGAAUUACCUCCAAAUCUCAAGGCGGCCUUGAACAGUGAGGAAGAACUGCCAAAGCCAAGACGGGUUUUCAGGACAAGGGUCCUUAGGAAACAGGCUCUGCAGAGGCUACAUGAGAGAAAAACUCGAAUCAUGGGUGUGAUAGGGCGUGCACCUACACAUAUGGGAGAAGGAAGACAGCCUCCUCCAGGAGCAUCUUACCCAACCUCUUGUCACCAUACCAAAUGGCGAUCCGAGCAAAAAGACUGGAAGAGAGCCGAGCGGCGGCGCUCCAAGAGCUCCGGGAGAAGCAGGCUCUGAUGGAGCAGCAGAGACGAGAGAAAAGGGCACUGCAGGAGUGGAGAGAGCGAGCCCAGAGGAUGAGGAAGAGGAAGGAAGAACUCAGCAAACUCCUGCCUCCGCGGAGGAGCAUGGUGGCAUCAAAGAUUCCCUCUGCUACAGAUCUGGUAGAUAACGGGAAAGUACCACUGAAUCCACCUGGAAAAAUGAAACCAAGCAAAGAGAAAUCGCCACGAUCAAGUAAAGAAAUGAGUGCCCUCCAGGAGGGAAAUUUAGAAGAGAAGAUAAAACAGCACAUCCCCCAAAUGCACGAGCAGAGAAGAUUCCAUGGCCAGGCCCCGCUGGAGGAGAUGAGGAAGGCUGCCGAGGAUCUGCAAAUUGAAGGCCGAUAUUCAUGGGGAUCCGAGGCCUCCUGACGAGGAGCCUCCUAAGCAGUACUGCUUACGGAAGUGGCUCCUAUAUAUUUGGAAUGUUAACCAUCCUCUCAGCCACCGCCAGUGCUGUUUAUUCACUCAGCAUACGCUGAUGCCUACCUCCUGGUACUUGGAGUAUCCUGGGCUGUGGGAGACACGCAGGAAUGAAGGAAAGUGCUUUGCUGCCCGAACUGCUGCCUGGCCAGCCCAUCCAGCUGUAGAAGGACACAGCUGCCGUCCCUGGCAGUGAACCUGGAUACCCAUGUCCCCACCCUUCUUGCAGCCAUAAGAACGCUGGCCUGUCCUCUCAGGCUACCCAAGGCCCCUGGCUGGUGGCCUCUUCCAGGCCACAGAGCUACAGGAUGAAGUAUUGAAGCUGAAAUUGGGAUUAACCUUGAACAAAGACCGUCGAUGGGCGGCCCUCACUGGAAACCUUUCUCUUGGCCUGCCAGCGGCACAGCCUCAAAAUACAUUUUUUAACACAAAAUAUGAAGAAUCAGGAAAUGUUCGCAGACACCAGUGACACCAGGUGGCUGGACUGAUGGAGACGUCUUCAGACAGGAGCCGCUCAGUCUUCUUUCCCGGGCGUCGCCUCCUGUGUGGUGGCCGGAAGAGCCCAGGUUCAGUGUUACCCUUAGGGCUGAUUUCACGCAGCCUGUUGUUUUCCUUAGACAGGUCCACGUUCCUCUCCUGAGGCUGUGGAAGAUUUCAGCCGUACUAAAAGAAAGGACACUGUGA
RNAcentral lists this small RNA (2299 nucleotides) under Pongo abelii (Sumatran orangutan). RNAcentral's name for it is "processed transcript". The record is from RNAcentral. Lineage: Eukaryota; Metazoa; Chordata; Mammalia; Primates; Hominidae.